GAGAAGGCAAGUGGUGAUCACUAAGCAUCUAAAGGAGGACGUGCAGGGAUGAGACUCAUGGACCACAGCGUGCUGAAAUGUUGCCUCUUCUCUCUACUCUUGCUAACAGUGUCUGCAGCAGACCCUCCAUCCAAUGCAGCCAUUUUAGCUAGUGAAAUGACUCCAGGCAAAGCACC
This is a long non-coding RNA of Oncorhynchus masou masou (cherry salmon), 176 nucleotides long. RefSeq lists it as uncharacterized. The transcript has 3 exons. NCBI's taxonomy places the organism in Eukaryota, Metazoa, Chordata, Actinopteri, Salmoniformes, Salmonidae. The record is from RefSeq and is a predicted model, not a curated record.